Oryza nivara is the source of this 207-nucleotide non-coding RNA. The record is from Rfam. NCBI's taxonomy places the organism in Eukaryota, Viridiplantae, Streptophyta, Magnoliopsida, Poales, Poaceae.
AAAAAGGGCAAACCCUGGGUUUCCGUACCAACGUUUGACUGUCCGUCUUAUAUGAAAUUUUUUUAUAAUUAGUAUUUUCAUUGUUGUUAGAUGAUAAAACAUGAUUAAUACUUUAUACAUAAAUUAUCUUUUUAAUUUUUUUCAUAAUUUUUUUAAAUAAGGCGGACGGUCAAACGUUGAGCACGGAAACUAAGGUUUGCCUUUUUU